This 508-nucleotide ribosomal RNA is filed under the name uncultured Acidobacteriota bacterium. RNAcentral's name for it is "bacterial SSU rRNA". It matches the Rfam family "Bacterial small subunit ribosomal RNA", at positions 355 to 878 of the family's 1533-position model. The record is from RNAcentral. Lineage: Bacteria; Pseudomonadati; Acidobacteriota.
UCGGGAAUUUUGCGCAAUGGACGAAAGUCUGACGCAGCAACGCCGCGUGAGGGAUGAAGGCCUUCGGGUUGUAAACCUCUUUUAUCAGGGAAGAUAAUGACGGUACCUGAUGAAUAAGUCACGGCUAACUACGUGCCAGCAGCCGCGGUAAUACGUAGGUGACAAGCGUUGUCCGGAUUUACUGGGCGUAAAGAGCGCGCAGGCGGUCGUUCAAGUCGAGUGUGAAAGCCCCCGGCUCAACUGGGGAGGGUCAUUCGAUACUGAUCGACUCGAAGGCAGGAGAGGGAAGUGGAAUUCCCGGUGUAGUGGUGAAAUGCGUAGAUAUCGGGAGGAACACCAGUGGCGAAGGCGACUUCCUGGCCUGUUCUUGACGCUGAGGCGCGAAAGCUAGGGGGAGCAAACGGGAUUAGAUACCCCGGUAGUCCUAGCCGUAAACGAUGGACACUAGGUGUUGGUGGUAUCAACCCCGCCAGUGCCGAAGCUAACGCAUUAAGUGUCCCGCUGGGGA